GGCAGUGUGGCACAGUGGUUUGAGUGCUGGAUUGCAACUCUGGAGACAUGGGUCAAAUCCCAGCUUGGCCA
Phrynosoma platyrhinos (Desert horned lizard) is the source of this 71-nucleotide non-coding RNA. Lineage: Eukaryota; Metazoa; Chordata; Lepidosauria; Squamata; Phrynosomatidae. The record is from the annotation of a GenBank genome assembly.